UACGGAGGAUGCGAGCGUUAUCCGGAUUCAUUGGGUUUAAAGGGUGCGUAGGCGGGAUAUUAAGUCAGUGGUGAAAACUUCAUGCUCAACGUGAAGCUUGCCGAUGAUACUGAUAACCUUGAGUGUGAUUAAUGCCGGCGGAAUGCGACAAGUAGCGGUGAAAUGCUUAGAUAUGUCGCAGAACACCGAUAGCGAAGGCAGCUGGCAGAGUCACAACUGACGCUGAGGCACGAAAGCGUGGGGAUCGAACAGGAUUAGAUACCCUGGUAGUCCACGCCGUAAACGAUGAUAGCUGGAUGUCCCCGAGCACUUGGGGGUGUCUGAGUAAAAGCAUUAAGCUAUCCACCUGGGGAGUACGCCGGCAACGGUGAA
This 372-nucleotide ribosomal RNA is filed under the name uncultured bacterium. RNAcentral's name for it is "bacterial SSU rRNA". It matches the Rfam family "Bacterial small subunit ribosomal RNA", at positions 524 to 898 of the family's 1533-position model. The record is from RNAcentral.